UACACAAAUACAAGAAGCCAUAAUAAACUCAUAUCAUGAAGCCUGCCCACAAACCACCUACAACAACGGGAAAAAAGUUUGCUGGUGGAAUGAUAACCUGGCGGCACUAAGAAAGAAAACUCGCAAACUUUGGAAUAGAGCGAAAAAAACGGGGAAUACUGAAGAAUACAGUAAAACCCUAACAGAAUACAAUAGGGAAAUAAAAAAGGCGAAACAGGAAUCGUGGAGGAAAUAUUGCAAAGAAAUCGAAAACAUCACAGAGGCAAGCAGACUCCACAAAAUCCUCGCCAAAGACCCUAUAAACCCCAUCGGAACAAUAAAAAAACCAGAUGGAAAACACACACAAACCGGAAAGGAAACAUUAGAAACCCUAAUAAGAACGCACUUUCCGGAAUCCAAAAUUAUUACGAACGACUUCAUUUUUGUAUUCUUCAAAAAGACGUCGGAUGUUUCGGGUUUGUGGUGGAAGAGCAGCAAUUUCCCGGAGCUAAGGGUUAGGAGUGCUUAUACUUCUUUUCUUAUGUAGGCGUUGAUGUCAACGUCCGCUAUUUUUAGUUUUCAGAUCACCAUGACUCAGAGGCAUUUCAUCCAAAGGAUUGAACACAAGGCAUUAACGUUCUGUGGGUGAUAAAUAAAGACGAUUAGCAACAGGCUACUCCACACCUCAUUGAUGAUAACUGGAUUCUUAUGUAUCAUUUUAUAAUUCGCUUAAUGUCCGGCCGACCUUUCCAGGCGAUUCGUAAAUGGAAAAUUGCCGGAGCUGUAUAAGAGCGAACUGGUACCGUUACAAAUCAAAAAUAUGCCAAAACGGCGAACCCAAAUCUGUAGUUAAUAAAA
Molecule: long non-coding RNA, 837 nt
Organism: Cimex lectularius (bed bug)
Lineage: Eukaryota; Metazoa; Arthropoda; Insecta; Hemiptera; Cimicidae
Exons: 3
Source: RefSeq, a predicted model, not a curated record